GUGUUUGCUUUAGCAGCACAUAUACUAAAAUUGGCAUGAUGCAGAGAAGAACACACCCCUGUGCAAGGAUGGCAAGCAAAUUCGUGAAGCAUUCUGUAUUAAA
Sorex araneus (European shrew) is the source of this 103-nucleotide small nuclear RNA. NCBI's taxonomy places the organism in Eukaryota, Metazoa, Chordata, Mammalia, Eulipotyphla, Soricidae. The record is from Ensembl.